AUUAGCCAUGCAUGUCUCAGUGCAAGCCGAAUUAAGGUGAAACCGCGAAUGGCUCAUUAAAUCAGUUAUGGUUCCUUAGAUGAUGCACAGUUACUUGGAUAACUGUGGUAAUUCUAGAGCUAAUACAUGCAACUCGGUCCCGACCGGCGACGGAAGGGACGCUUUUAUUAGAUCAAAACCAAUCGGUCUUCGGGCCGUUUGUCUUGGUGACUCUGAAUAAAUUAUGGCAGAUCGCACGGCCCCCGAGCCGGCGACGCAUCUUUCAAAUGUCUGCCUUAUCAACUGUCGAUGGUAGGUUCUGCGCCUACCAUGGUUGUAACGGGUAACGGGGAAUCAGGGUUCGAUUCCGGAGAGGGAGCCUGAGAAACGGCUACCACAUCCAAGGAAGGCAGCAGGCGCGCAAAUUACCCACUCCCGGCACGGGGAGGUAGUGACGAAAAAUAACGAUACGGGACUCAUCCGAGGCCCCGUAAUCGGAAUGAGUACACUUUAAAUCCUUUAACGAGUAUCCAUUGGAGGGCAAGUCUGGUGCCAGCAGCCGCGGUAAUUCCAGCUCCAAUAGCGUAUAUUAAAGUUGUUGCGGUUAAAAAGCUCGUAGUCGGACUUGUGUCCCACGCUGCCGGUUCACCGCCCGUCGGUGUUUAACUGGCAUGCACGUGCGGACGUCCUGCCGGUGGCCCGAGCCGGCGCGGGUCUCGCACCCGUCGUCCGGGGAAGGCCUAUCAUACCCGUCGCGGUGCUCUUAACCGAGUGUCUCGAUGGGCCGGCACGUUUACUUUGAACAAAUUAGAGUGCUUAAAGCAGGCAGCAUCCGCCUGAAUACCGAGUGCAUGGAAUAAUGGAAUAGGACCUCGGUUCUAUUUUGUUGGUUUUCGGAAUCCCCGAGGUAAUGAUCAAUAGGGACAGACGGGGGCAUUCGUAUUGCGACGUUAGAGGUGAAAUUCUUGGAUCGUCGCAAGACGGACCGAAGCGAAAGCAUUUGCCAAGAAUGUUUUCUCUGAUCAAGA
Molecule: ribosomal RNA, 1007 nt
Filed under: Tenodera sinensis (Chinese praying mantis)
Lineage: Eukaryota; Metazoa; Arthropoda; Insecta; Mantodea; Mantidae
Description: SSU rRNA
Rfam family: Eukaryotic small subunit ribosomal RNA
Source: RNAcentral